GAUGAACGCUAGCUACAGGCUUAACACAUGCAAGUCGAGGGGCAGCAUGGUCUUAGCUUGCUAAGGCCGAUGGCGACCGGCGCACGGGUGAGUAACACGUAUCCAACCUGCCGUCUACUCUUGGACAGCCUUCUGAAAGGAAGGUUAAUACAAGAUGGCAUCAUGAGUCCGCAUGUUCACAUGAUUAAAGGUAUUCCGGUAGACGAUGGGGAUGCGUUCCAUUAGAUAGUAGGCGGGGUAACGGCCCACCUAGUCUUCGAUGGAUAGGGGUUCUGAGAGGAAGGUCCCCCACAUUGGAACUGAGACACGGUCCAAACUCCUACGGGAGGCAGCAGUGAGGAAUAUUGGUCAAUGGGCGCAGGCCUGAACCAGCCAAGUAGCGUGAAGGAUGACUGCCCUAUGGGUUGUAAACUUCUUUUAUAAAGGAAUAAAGUCGGGUAUGUAUACCCGUUUGCAUGUACUUUAUGAAUAAGGAUCGGCUAACUCCGUG
RNAcentral lists this ribosomal RNA (490 nucleotides) under uncultured bacterium. Its description in RNAcentral is "partial 16S ribosomal RNA". It matches the Rfam family "Bacterial small subunit ribosomal RNA", at positions 28 to 507 of the family's 1533-position model. The record is from RNAcentral.